Molecule: ribosomal RNA, 263 nt
Filed under: uncultured Anaerolineaceae bacterium
Lineage: Bacteria; Bacillati; Chloroflexota; Anaerolineae; Anaerolineales; Anaerolineaceae
Description: partial 16S ribosomal RNA
Rfam family: Bacterial small subunit ribosomal RNA
Source: RNAcentral
GCUGUGUGUUACAAGUGUCACACGGAACUGCCGGUCAUAAACCGGAGGAAGGUGGGGAUGACGUCAAGUCAGCAUGGCCUUUAUAUCCUGGGCUACACACACGCUACAAUGGGAAGGGACAAUAGGUUGCGAAGCCGCGAGGCGGAGCCAAUCCAGCAAAACUUCCCUCAGUUCAGAUUGCAGGCUGCAACUCGCCUGCAUGAAGUUGGAGUUGCCAGUAAACGCAGGUCAGCCAUACUGCGUUGAAUACGUUCCCGGGGCUU